RNAcentral lists this ribosomal RNA (442 nucleotides) under uncultured bacterium. Its description in RNAcentral is "partial 16S ribosomal RNA". It matches the Rfam family "Bacterial small subunit ribosomal RNA", at positions 338 to 795 of the family's 1533-position model. The record is from RNAcentral.
CCUACGGGAGGCAGCAGUGGGGAAUAUUGGGCAAUGGGCGCAAGCCUGACCCAGCAACGCCGCGUGAAGGAAGAAGGCUUUCGGGUUGUUAACUUCUUUUUUCAGGGAAGAGUAGAAGACUGUACCUGACGAAUAAGCCACGGCUAACUACUUGCCAGCAGCCGCGGUAAUACGUAGGUGGCAAGCGCUGUCCGGAUUUACUGGGUGUAAAGGGCGUGUAGCCGGGUUGACAAGUCAGAUGUGAAAUCCUGCGGCUUAACCGGAGAACUGCAUUUGAAACUGUUGAUCUUGAGUACUGGAGAGGCAGGCGGAAUUCCUGGUGUAGCGGUGAAAUGCGUAGAUAGUAGGAGGAACACCAGUGGCGAAGGCGGUCUACUGGACAGCAACUGACGGUGAGGCGCGAAAGCGUGGGGAGCAAACAGGAUUAGAUACCCGGGUAGUC